CUUGGUCAUUUAGAGGAAGUAAAAGUCGUAACAAGGUUUCCGUAGGUGAACCUGCGGAAGGAUCAUUAUCGAAAUAAAUCUGAAGGAGGAGGGAGCGGGCGAAGUUUGGCAUCGAUGGACUGUCGCUGGCGACUUUGGAAACGAAGUUCGCAUGUGCACGUCCGUCCUUCCUUAGUCCUCGCUCUCUUGCCUUUGGAGAAAAACAAACCUUUACACCUGUGCACCUGUUGUAGGUCCCUUUGCGGGGAUCUAUGUUUUUUCCAUAACACCGAACGUAUGUCUACAGAAUGUCUUUAAUGCGUCGAUCGGCAUGGCUAACGCUGUGUCGGAGACGGUAAACUAUCAUUACAACUUUCAGCAACGGAUCUCUUGGCUCUCGCAUCGAUGAAGAACGCAGCGAAUUGCGAUAAGUAAUGUGAAUUGCAGAUUUUCAGUGAAUCAUCGAAUCUUUGAACGCACCUUGCGCUCCUUGGUAUUCCGAGGAGCAUGCCUGUUUGAGUGUCAUCUAAUUCUCAACCACGCUUCGAUUGAUUUCGAUGUCUUCGUGGCUUGGAUUUGGGGGCUGCCGGCGACCCUUGGUUGGGACGUCGGCUCUCCUUAAAAGCAUUAGCAAAGGCGAGCCUCGCAUGUACGGCCUUCGGCGUGAUAAUGAUCGUCGUGGNCUAGAGUGCGUCGGGCAUGAAUCGUCAGUGCUUCUAAUCACGUCUUCGCUCCGGCGGAACGACCUUACUUUAAGACUUGACCUCAAAUCAGGUAGGACUACCCGCUGAACUUAAGCAUAUCAAUAAGCGGAGGAAAAGAAACUAACAAGGAUUCCCCUAGUAACUGCGAGUGAAGAGGGAAGAGCUCAAAUUUUGAAUCUGGCGGUCUCGUGGCCGUCCGAGUUGUAAUCUAGAGAAGCGUUUUCCGCGCUGGACCGUGUAUAAGUCUCCUGGAAGGGAGCUGUCGUAGAGGGUGAGAAUCCCGUCUUUGACACGGACUACCAGGGCUAUGUGAUGCGCUCUCGACGAGUCGAGUUGUUUGGGAAUGCAGCUCAAAUCGGGUGGUAAAUUCCAUCUAAAGCUAAAUACAGGCGAGAGACCGAUAGCGAACAAGUACCGUGAGGGAAAGAUGAAAAGAACUUUGGAAAGAGAGUUAAACAGUACGUGAAAUUGCUGAAAGGGAAACGCUUGAAGU
Molecule: ribosomal RNA, 1176 nt
Filed under: uncultured Basidiomycota
Lineage: Eukaryota; Fungi; Basidiomycota
Description: eukaryotic LSU rRNA
Rfam family: Eukaryotic large subunit ribosomal RNA (bases 740-1176)
Source: RNAcentral